CGCCAGUGGGCAACAGCAACGGCGACGGCGACGGAAUACAUCAGGACUUGAUUAUGUUUCUUCUUCCCCGAUGUUUCUUGCAAGAGCAUAAAGGAACGGAAAAGUAACAGGUAUAUACACACAUGUAUUUAUCCCUCAAGAACAGGUUUGUUGCAAUCUGCCAAGGUGUUUGUUUUGCGCUCCGCUAUUGUGUUGUGUUGAGCUAUAGGAAUCUAAUCGAACAGAUUUGUUGUGCAGAUGGAAGCUUAUCUUAACGGAGGGCACCUCACGGCAAUCCUCUGCUCCGUCUACCACGGCAGCAAGAUCUAGCAGGUAUACCCACCCACGGCCACAUGCCAUGCGAGGACGGUGGUGAACUCCUUGGAUCUAGCGGGUAUUCGUUGACCACGGCGGCGAACUCCUUGUCAAAUUCGCCGCCGUCAACGAGCAGACCCAAGCGCAUCAUGAACUGCCUGCUCUGCUCUACCGCACUUGAUCUCUACAACCUCCACUGUUUGACAAACCGAGGCAAGUUGCACUACCAGUGACAUGGCCAUGCAUAGACACACACUUCGGUCAAGCUCAACAUCUGCUACACGAAGGCUUUUUGUUUCACACACAGAAUUUUUAUAUGUGAGUUCUUGGAGUGUCAAUUUUUAUAUGUGAGUUCUUGAAGUUAAUUUUUAUUUUCAUUCUGGAAUCAAGUCAGUCAUCACACUGCAGGUGAUUACUAUUAGCGAUGAUACUUAAAUAUUGAACCCAAU
Molecule: long non-coding RNA, 743 nt
Filed under: Triticum aestivum (bread wheat)
Lineage: Eukaryota; Viridiplantae; Streptophyta; Magnoliopsida; Poales; Poaceae
Description: long non-coding RNA (TAES_LNC010869)
Source: RNAcentral